Molecule: ribosomal RNA, 111 nt
Filed under: Leptoglossus fulvicornis
Lineage: Eukaryota; Metazoa; Arthropoda; Insecta; Hemiptera; Coreidae
Description: partial small subunit ribosomal RNA
Source: RNAcentral
AAGGUUGAUAAAGUGAUUAAGAUUGAUUCUGUCUUUAAUUUUAUGUUUUAGAUUAGUUAUUUGAUAAUAUUAAAUAUAAAUUUUUGUGUGUUAAUUAGGUUUUUCUAAAAG